ACACGUAGGGGGCGAGCGUUGUUCGGAAUCAUUGGGCGUAAAGGGCGUGCAGGCGGUCGUGCAAGUCCGGCGUGAAAGACCCCGGCCCAACCGGGGGGACGCGCUGGAAACUGCAGGGCUUGAGUACAGGAGGGGAUGCCGGAAUUCCAGGUGUAGGGGUGAAAUCUGUAGAUAUCUGGAAGAACACCAAUGGCGAAGGCAGGCAUCUGGCCAUGUACUGACGCUGAGACGCGAAGGUGCGGGGAGCAAACAGGUUUAGAUACCCUGGUAGUCCGCACAGUAAACGAUGUGCACCAGGUGGCGGGGGGUCGACCCCCGGUACCGUAGCUAACGCAUUAAGUGCACCGCCUGGGGAGUAUGCUCGCAAGGGUGAAACUCAAAUGAAUUGACGGGG
RNAcentral lists this ribosomal RNA (394 nucleotides) under uncultured bacterium. RNAcentral describes it as "partial 16S ribosomal RNA". It matches the Rfam family "Bacterial small subunit ribosomal RNA", at positions 523 to 918 of the family's 1533-position model. The record is from RNAcentral.